RNAcentral lists this ribosomal RNA (270 nucleotides) under uncultured prokaryote. Its description in RNAcentral is "partial 16S ribosomal RNA". It matches the Rfam family "Bacterial small subunit ribosomal RNA", at positions 524 to 792 of the family's 1533-position model. The record is from RNAcentral.
UACGUAGGGGCCAAACGUUGUCCGGAUUUAUUGGGCGUAAAGGGCUCGUAGGCGGUUCAACAAGUCGGUCGUGAAAACCCGGGGCUCAACCCCGGGACGCCGGUCGAAACUGUUGUGACUAGGGUCCGGUAGAGGUGAGUGGAAUUCUCGGUGUAGCGGUGGAAUGCGCAGAUAUCGAGAGGAACACCAGUAGCGAAGGCGGCUCACUGGGCCGGUACCGACGCUGAGGAGCGAAAGCAUGGGGAGCAAACAGGAUUAGAUACCCCCGUA